UGAUUUCCCGCUUUCCAACAAAUGUAAAGAGCUUGAUAUAUCACAUAUAUUCAUCUUCAGUUAAAGUGGAUUUGUCAUUCCUAUCCAAUUGGGGGCUGAUUUUUCAUGGCUUGUUUAUGGGGGACGGGUUGGACGCCUGGUUCAUGAUGGAGGGGGGCUGUUUGGUUGUGAAGUUUUCCGGCGAUGUGAAGGUGACGGGCUGGACGGGGAAGAUGAAGCAACG
Molecule: long non-coding RNA, 223 nt
Filed under: Nicotiana benthamiana
Lineage: Eukaryota; Viridiplantae; Streptophyta; Magnoliopsida; Solanales; Solanaceae
Description: long non-coding RNA (NBEN_LNC012001)
Source: RNAcentral